RNAcentral lists this long non-coding RNA (293 nucleotides) under Mytilus galloprovincialis (Mediterranean mussel). Lineage: Eukaryota; Metazoa; Mollusca; Bivalvia; Mytilida; Mytilidae. The record is from RNAcentral.
GCUACAUUUGUAGUACAAUUAUUUAUGGAUCUCAGAAAGGCUGAUCCUGAAGUCCCUUUCUUACAAGUGCAGUGUUAUCCCCAGAAGAUAGCAUCCCAUUUGGCGUAAAAAAAAAUUAACUGUGUCAUUUGUCGCGUCUCAGCGAUGCUCUAUUUCCAUUGAUUUCCUUUAUGUUAUACAUGUAUAUGUUUAUAUUGUUCAAUUCAUUACUGAGAAUACAAUUAGACUAAUCACUAAUACCAUGAAUACAGUUGUUUCAGUUUGUUUUAUUUAUUCAUUUAUAGUUACAGAAU